Gavialis gangeticus (Gharial) is the source of this 239-nucleotide long non-coding RNA. RefSeq lists it as uncharacterized. The transcript is spliced from 3 exons. The record is from RefSeq and is a predicted model, not a curated record. NCBI's taxonomy places the organism in Eukaryota, Metazoa, Chordata, Crocodylia, Gavialidae.
GGACUACAUAAGCCACAACGCCAUCUGGUGGACAAGGAGGUUCAUUACAUAUUUUUGAGUGCCUUUGUGUUUGCAUGCAAUGAAUCCAUGGACAGUAUGCUUUAAUUUGUGGUGAGUCAAACUAAGUUACAUCUGAGAAGUUUUACUUCAAUGCGUCAGAAAGACUUUUAAAGUGUCUGGAAAACUUGCUCGUGCAAACAGUCAUGUCGUUGCAGCACAAGAAAGGGCAAAAAACAUGG